Non-coding RNA from Pelobates cultripes (western spadefoot toad), 242 nucleotides. The record is from the annotation of a GenBank genome assembly. NCBI's taxonomy places the organism in Eukaryota, Metazoa, Chordata, Amphibia, Anura, Pelobatidae.
CACACAUAUUAUAUACCGUUUGUCUUGCCAUUAAAUGGUCUUUCAAUUGAUACCAUUAUUUUCAUCAUAUAUAAUUUACUAAAAAAUUUUGUUUUUAUAAAAUGAAAAAAUUUAAAACACUUUUUGACCCCCAAAAUCUGUUACCCAUCUACAACUGCCAAAAAACACCCAUGCUAGUUUCUAAAUUUUGUCCUGAGUUUAGAAAUACCCAAUGUUAACAUGUUCUUAGCUUUUUUUUUUUU